RNAcentral lists this ribosomal RNA (545 nucleotides) under Pelobatrachus baluensis (Kinabulu horned frog). RNAcentral's name for it is "Megophrys baluensis (Kinabulu horned frog) partial 16S ribosomal RNA". It matches the Rfam family "Bacterial large subunit ribosomal RNA", at positions 1849 to 2609 of the family's 2925-position model. Lineage: Eukaryota; Metazoa; Chordata; Amphibia; Anura; Megophryidae. The record is from RNAcentral.
GAGGUAAUGCCUGCCCAGUGACCAUAAAUUCAACGGCCGCAGUAUUUUAACCGCGCGAAGGUAGCGUAAUCACUUGUUUUCUAAAUAAAGACUAGUAUGAACGGCCACACGAGGACUUAACUGUCUCCUUUAUCCAAUCAGUGAAACUGAUCUCCCCGUGCAGAAGCGGGGAUAACACCAUAAGACGAGAAGACCCUAUGGAGCUUUAAACCAAACUAACUAUCUUUUUCUUAACCCCAAGGGAUUAACAAACACAAGAUACUAUUAAUGUAUGUUUUAGGUUGGGGCGACCAUGGAGAAAAACUUAACCUUCCUGACGAUUGAUAAACCAAGAGCUACAGCUCUAAAUAUUAAGACACUUAACCCUUAUUGACCCACUUUGUGAUCAACGGACCAAGUUACCCUAGGGAUAACAGCGCAAUCCAUUUCAAGAGUCCCUAUCGACAAAUGGGUUUACGACCUCGAUGUUGGAUCAGGGCACCCAAGUGGUGCAACCGCUACUAAAGGUUCGUUUGUUCAACGAUUAAAGCCCUACGUGAUCUGAG